AUCGCUUCUCGGCCUUUUGGCUAAGAUCAAGUGUAGUAUCUGUUCUUAUCAGUUUAAUAUCUGAUACGUCCUCUAUCCGAGGACAGUAUAUUAAAUGGAUUUUUGGAGCAGGGAGAUGGAAUAGGAGCUUGCUCCGUCCACUCCACGCAUNGUAUAAGUGAUCAACUUAUUUUUAAAUAAAGCAGUAGCC
Manis javanica (Malayan pangolin) is the source of this 190-nucleotide small nuclear RNA. RefSeq annotates it as U2 spliceosomal RNA. Lineage: Eukaryota; Metazoa; Chordata; Mammalia; Pholidota; Manidae. The record is from RefSeq and is a predicted model, not a curated record.